CCUACGGGAGGCAGCAGUGGGGAAUAUUGCACAAUGGGGGAAACCCUGAUGCAGCGACGCCGCGUGAGGGAAGAAGGUUUUCGGAUUGUAAACCUCUGUCUUUGGUGACGAAAGAUGACGGUAGCCAAAGAGGAAGCUACGGCUAACUACGUGCCAGCAGCCGCGGUAAUACGUAGGUGGCAAGCGUUGUCCGGAUUUACUGGGUGUAACGGGCGUGUAGCCGGGUUGACAAGUCAGAUGUGAAAUCCUGCGGCUUAACCGCAGAACUGCAUUUGAAACUGGUGAUCUUGAGUACUGGUGAGGCAGACGGAAUUCGUGGUGUAGUGGUGAAAUGCGUAGAUAUUAGGAGGAACACCAGUGGCGAAGGCAGUCUGCUGGACAGCAACUGACGGUGAUGCGCGAAAGCGUGGGGAGCAAACAGGAUUAGAUACCCCAGUAGUC
Molecule: ribosomal RNA, 441 nt
Filed under: uncultured bacterium
Lineage: Bacteria
Description: partial 16S ribosomal RNA
Rfam family: Bacterial small subunit ribosomal RNA
Source: RNAcentral